Molecule: unclassified non-coding RNA, 250 nt
Filed under: uncultured fungus
Lineage: Eukaryota; Fungi
Description: partial contains 5.8S rRNA and ITS2
Rfam family: 5.8S ribosomal RNA (bases 1-52)
Source: RNAcentral
AACGCACAUUGCGCCCCCUGGUAUUCCGGGGGGCAUGCCUGUUCGAGCGUCAUUACAACCCUCAAGCUCUGCUUGGUAUUGGGCUUCGUCGGUCCCCGGCGUGCCUCAAAGCUAUCGGCGGUGGUGCCUUUCUCUAAGCGUGGUAAAUUCUAUUCGCUUGUGAGUCGGGCUUCGCCUGCCGGACAAACCGGGCCUCGGCCCACUUUCUCAGGUUGACCUCGGAUCAGGUAGGGAUACCCGCUGAACUUAA